Pogonomyrmex barbatus (red harvester ant) is the source of this 711-nucleotide long non-coding RNA. The record is from RefSeq and is a predicted model, not a curated record. Lineage: Eukaryota; Metazoa; Arthropoda; Insecta; Hymenoptera; Formicidae.
AAAAAACAACGGUUAUUAUUUCAGUACUGUAUUUCUUGUCACACGUCUGGCCUGAAAUUUCUUUAAAACAAUUUGCUUUCACAGCGAAAGGCCGUUCGAACAGCUACGCUUAAUUGGUUCUUCCGUCAUGUACGCGUGCUCAGACGUGACUUAUUCGAGUCUUUGCGACACUCUUCGCGUGUCUCGCGGAUGAAAUUAAUAUGACUUAAGAUGAAAAGGAUGUAACUGUCAAUUUCACUGUCUCGGUAUCUCCGAGAAAAAAUAAUCCACGACAAACGCAUUCGGCAUGUGGCCGAAAAUGUGAAUUGUAAAAUUUUUAAAAGAAAAUAAUAAAAAAGGCUGAAGAGGAUGGAAAAUAGAGUAAACGUGAGAUGAACAAACGAGAAGAGAAAGAAGAGAUGAAAAGAAGCAAUCUGAAUAGAAGUGAAAAUAUGUUUAUACUGAGCCUAUGAGAUGUAGACGAGGAAAUUCAUAUAAAAUAAUUCAUAUAAAAAAAAUGCAAAGAAUGCAAACAUGUGAAGAGGAAGUUAUUCAAAGCUGAAAGGUACGGAUUAUAAAUUAACUAAUAUUUCUGAAAAUUAUUUACAUCUUUUUCGCUUUAAAAAGGCAUCUUGAAUUACACUCAUUAUAGAGAUGCGAGUGAUUUAAACGCGCGAAGAAAAUGACUUGUCGCAUUUACGACAAUUAAACAAGAACGAUCGCUCGCUAUUC